RNAcentral lists this long non-coding RNA (2897 nucleotides) under Zea mays. RNAcentral describes it as "long non-coding RNA (ZMAY_LNC003198)". The record is from RNAcentral. Lineage: Eukaryota; Viridiplantae; Streptophyta; Magnoliopsida; Poales; Poaceae.
AGACGCCACCUAGAUCAAAUCAAACUCCUCGUUGUGUGGCUCCUCUUGAACCACCUGUUCUUCUCCUGUGGGGGGGUGUAAGACAGCAAGGGUGAGCUCACACAUGUUCAUCGGUCAACAAGUUGUGGGGAAUAAUGUGGCAUAAACUCACCAAACAUGGGAGAUCAUGUGAAGUGUAAGGCUUACCAAAGAGAAUGGUUAAAUCUGAGCAUUGCUUUUAAAGUUGGUCAAAAUUUUAUUAGCAAUUACUAGAUGUAAGUAAAUACCAAACCAUAAUAACAAUAAUAGAACAAAAUUAAUAAUAAACCCAUGCAAAUGCAAAUGACAAAUUGAAUUUAAGUUACAUAAAUUUAUCAUGCGAGAGUCCUGAGCUGCUCUUGACCGUGAGCUCGGCUAGUAUACCAGUUUUACACUCUGCAGAGGUUGUACCCUGUACCCACAAGUCAUGUAUCCCAUGUCGCCAGGGUUAGCUAGACCCUUAGACAGUACCGAGGUGAAUGGCUAGGGAUCCACUACGAGGCCUUUACAAAGUUCAACUAGCUUCCGAAAACCCGCUACAGUUUAUGGGAAGAGCACUUGCAAGAAUCCCUCGUCUGACCACCAUCGUAGCAAAAUCAACCCGAGAACCUCCCUGCAUGCAACUCCCCUACUGCCCUUUCCCCUUUUGGGUAAGGUAGACUUCCACUAGCUUUCCUAAUUAGUCAGCCAAGGGCGUCCCGUUCCACCCUUGUGGUGGCACGUGUUUCUCAAGUUAAGCUCUAUGUUUCAAUUAAAGAUAAUGAUCUUGACAUGAACAUAAAUAACAUAACAGAAUAAUUGGAACAUGGACAUAAUGAAAUAUUAACCCAAAACCAUAUAAAGCAAUGGCAAAACUACAAGUGAUUCAGAGGUAAACAAGGUAAAAGAUAAUCAGGCUAGGAUGACCUAUUGGGUCCCAUCAAACCUAUGCAUUGAAUAGUGAUAAUAAAGAACAUUAUUGGGUAAUAAAUGUGGUCAAGGGCAUAACUUGCCUGUCACUUGAGAUUCCAGGUACCAGAAUGAUUCUUCAGAUCCUCGUGACCUUACUGCUAGUCGUAGCAAUACAAACAGACAUGGUAUAGACAAAAUUAACAUCACACCAAACAUAAGAACAUACUGCAUAAUAAUGAUCUACGCGUUGCUACGAGAUCGUGGGAACGAGAACCACUAAAAUCGAAGUUACGUUAAGGAGUUAUAAUUUUAUAGAAGAUUUAUGUGAUUAAAAUAUUAAACUAUAUUAUAAAUUAGUUAAUAUAAAUCAUAUAAGAGCUUAUUCUAUAUAUAAUUAUCUCUACUUUAAUCUAAGUUAUAAAUUGACCAUAGAUCAUAUUCUAGUAGAUUAUAAUGAUAAGCAAUUUAACCAGACUAACCAACAUAAAUUAAAUACUUAUCUAAUUAUAAAAUAAUGAGACAUGGUAUAGUAAAUGUUGUUAUCGCAUAGUAAAUAUUUGUACGAGACUAACACAACUUGAAUGGAUCAAAUCAGAGUUAUAGAUUUUAAGUUAUGAAUUUCUAAAGAUUCUAUGUGUUUUGUACAAGAUUAAAUAGGAUAUAAAUUUUAAUGUGACUUUCAUGUCAAAACAGUGGCACUAAUUGAUAAACAAUAAUAUUAUAAAAUUAUAGGAACUAGAAUGAAUUAAUUUGGAGCUACAAUGGAUUUUCUAUGAAUUAAAUAAGUUUCUGGAAUUAUUUUAACACAAAAAAUCAUUUUCUGAUUGAAUUUCUGAAUUUUCAUAUGAUUCUUGACUACACGCCAAUUCCCAGAGAAGACAGGGGCCACGGUGUAAAAUGUUCUAAGGCUCAGUCUAAGUGUAGAGUGGGCUGUGGGUUAAUUAUCGAAGACUUGAGGGGCUCAUACGAAAAAGACGCACGACGAAGGGGUACAGUUAUAUCCUUGCUGUUGGAUCACCGAUCUACGGAUCAGAUUAGAUCCAAACCUUUCUGAACCGGUACACUAUCCUAUCCGCGGGAUCCGACAACAAGGGCCAGGAUUAAACGACGCUCCUUACGAAUCGGUGCAGAGACCCAGCCGUCGGAUCAGAGAACCACGACCCAGAUCGCGAAGUAUCCCGGCUGGUUCUUAACGGUCCGAUCUAGAUUGAGGGUCCGGAUUUAAACACCGAAGGGGUAAGACUCAUUCUAAUCUCCACCUCUCACUCACAAUUCGACGACGCGCCUAUGUUCUUCCACCACGCGAUGACCAGAGAAGGUGUAGCAGAUGCCCGUGGCGGCUCUCCACCAGCGUGCGGCGAAUCCGGCGACCCGGUACCCGAAUCCUAUGGACGAUGGGCGUUAUACACUAGAUAGAACAAGGCGAUCGUCAUGGAAGGUAGCUCACCAAUGAUGGCAUCCGGCAGAGUCCCGUCGUCGAGGAAGGAUGGCCAUGGCGGAAAUCCCCAGCUCUGGCGAACAAUUCACAUCUUGCCCGCUAUACACCGUGACCUCCACCACCACACACACGCUCGAUUUGAUCCCGCGAAGCUUCAAAGCCAUCUGCCGGUGCUGGAGCGACAACGCUCAAUGAUUUCGCCCGUGGCGGAUCAAUGAUGGCGGCUGCACUCUCCCCUCUGUCCCGCUACACAGGGCGUCUUGGUGGUUCUCAACUCGACUUCGUGGCUGCGCUGGUUUCGCGGGGCCGCAACGGAGAGGUGGUUGUGGAUUAUAUGCAGGUGAGGGCCAAUGACCGAGUCGGCUGGGUCAAGCAACCCGAUCGAUCUGUUAUAGGGAGAAGAAGGUCUGAUGAAGUGGUCCAAGGUGUCAACGACCCGGGUGGAGAAGAGCGCGCGCCACAUGAUUGACGGGCGGGCUCCACCCGUUCGGCACACCGAUGUGGCAGGAUCGACGGAAUUGAGUUGGGCUCGGUGGCAACUGGCUAGGCC